This is a non-coding RNA of Pelodiscus sinensis (Chinese soft-shelled turtle), 1853 nucleotides long. NCBI's taxonomy places the organism in Eukaryota, Metazoa, Chordata, Testudines, Trionychidae. The record is from RefSeq and is a predicted model, not a curated record.
CGAGGGUCUCAGGAAUCGAGAGCAGCUGCCGCUGGUGUCCAAAGACGGGUCCACAGUUCCCCCGUGCGUCCCCAAAGACCUAAGUCUCUGCCUCCCUCACGGAUACAGGUGCAGGGGCCGGCACUAGUUUGCAGUGCAAGCCUGCAGAGUCUGGUGUCUCUGUAUGCAGCCAGGGAAUAUGAACGGAGGAGGCAGGACGGCGUCUCUCCUGCAGGCAAUUUGACUCUACCGUGUGACUUACCGGGGUGUGCAGGCAGAGGGGGGCUGCGUCAGGUCACGAGCCGCCAGUCCGCUGUCCGUGCACAUCGUGUUUCGUGGGAUCUCUCAUGACAUUCCACGCCCAGUGUUGCAAAGAAGACGUUUAGCUUUCUGGAAACUUUAACUGCAGCCCAGGUGUCCCGACUGUCGUCCACACCUUCUGCUGGACUGGGGCUACACUGAGAUGUGGUGCGACAGUGGGGUAGCCAUGACAUUCUCCUGCUCACUCUGUUGACCUGCUGUCUGGCUCCCGUACCCCUGCCUGAGCACUGCUGUCCCCACCCUGCGGCAUUUCGGGAGCUGGGCAUGGUUCAUCUAGGGCACCGGCUGCUGGCAGCUUGCCUAGGGCUGCCCCUGUUUGAGAGGGAGGCUGCGGUUGCCAGAGGAGUUUUCCUGGGAGCAGGUUGUGGCUCUGCUCGCUGGCUGGUGUGUGGAGUGUAAAGGAAUCAGUUGAACCUAAGAAAACACACACUAGAUCAGAAGGGGCUAACUCCACUCUGAGGGAGGGAUAAAAGAGGGCUACUCAGGGCAGAUGGAGCUGACCACAGAGGGGAAGAAGCUCAGGCAGGAGCUACUGAACAGCCCCUGCAGCCGCCCCCGGAGCAGCACCAUUCACAGACUGGGACUGACCGCCAGGCCGCACACAGAGGACACCACUGCACGUACCACGUGUUACGCGCUUCUCACGUACCGUGGCUGGGAAUGGAAAUGUUCAUACCCCCGCGUGCUAAUCCCAGACAAACCCUGUUCAAACAUCACCGGGCUCCUGUAAUAACCCCCAACACCAGGUGUUCCUGUCAGGGCUGCUCCCACUCUGAGUGCAGAAGGUGGAUGCCUACAAGAGACCUUACAGAUACCUCACCUCUAUCAGCUUCUGCUUCACAGGUGCCCUUUUCUUCUUGAACUUGGAACUUCUUCCAGAGGGGUCCCCCAAACACUUUUACCACCAGAGAGCUGCAAGAAUCAAACAAACAAACAGGAGAAAACAAACGAGGGAAAAACAAACAAACAAGAGAGAAUAAACUACGCUCUUUGACAGCUGAGCUCUCAUCUGGGGCAGGCACACACAGACCUCCUCUUGCCUUCCAGGACACCAGAAUCAAAUCAUCACCUUCAAAAAGGUGAUUUUAUUAACCAAACAAAAAAGCAGACGUGGUUGCUAGCUGCUUUAACACAACUGAGAGAAGAAUAAACACAGAGAACUGACAGAAUAAACUGACAGAAUAAACACAGAGAACUGUAUCCCUGGGAUUCAGCUUUAAAUUUAUACUGCAUGGGGGAGGGGGAGGCACAGUUACACAGAGGAGUUUCACCAAACAAUAAAACAAAGAAAAUAACUUGAUUGUGUCUAAAUAGACGUUCCUUAUCUACUUACAUCUCCGUGCUUCAAGAUCCAGUCCAUUUCUAUGCCCGGGUAUUUCUUUUUUAGGCAUGGUAUUCUUGCCCAGUUCAAUGCACCUUUCCUCCCAACCCUUAGGCUCCUGGCUCCUGGCUCCUUGCCAGCAUCUCCUAGCUACCCGAGUUUAACACUUUAGUCACCGAAUGCUCGGAUGUCCAGAAAAGAACAGCACUCCUCCUCCUGUUCCUGACACACC